GACGAACGCUGGCGGCGUGCUUAACACAUGCAAGUCGAACGGAGAAUUUAUUUCGGUAAAUUCUUAGUGGCGAACGGGUGAGUAACGCGUGGGCAACCUGCCCUUCAGAUGGGGACAACAUCCCGAAAGGGGUGCUAAUACCGAAUACGAUCGUUUUCCCGCAUGGGAUUACGAUGAAAGAUGGCCUCUAUUUAUAAGCUAUCGCUGAAGGAUGGGCCUGCGUCUGAUUAGCUAGUUGGUGGGGUAACGGCCUACCAAGGCGAUGAUCAGUAGCCGGUCUGAGAGGAUGAACGGCCACAUUGGGACUGAGACACGGCCCAAACUCCUACGGGAGGCAGCAGUGGGGAAUAUUCCGCAAUGGACGAAAGUCUGACGGAGCAACGCCGCGUGAGUGAUGAAGGUUUUCGGACUGUAAAGCUCUGUUGUUUAGGACGAAAGUGCCUGUUGCAAACAGUUGCAGGUAUUGACGGUACUGAACGAGGAAGCCACGGCUAACUACGUGCCAGCAGCCGCGGUAA
RNAcentral lists this ribosomal RNA (518 nucleotides) under uncultured bacterium. RNAcentral describes it as "partial 16S ribosomal RNA". It matches the Rfam family "Bacterial small subunit ribosomal RNA", at positions 28 to 523 of the family's 1533-position model. The record is from RNAcentral.